GAAAUGCGGUAAGUAAUGUGAAUUGCAGAAUUCAGUGAAUCAUCGAAUCUUUGAACGCACAUUGCGCCCAUUAGUAUUCUAGUGGGCAUGCCUGUUCGAGCGUCAUUUCAACCCCUAAGCACAGCUUAUUGUUGGGACUCUACGGCUUCGUAGUUCCCCAAAGACAUUGGCGGAGUGGCAGCAGUCCUCUGAGCGUAGUAAUUCUUUAUCUCGCUUUUGUUAGGCGCUGCCCCCCCGGCCGUAAAACCCCCAAUUUUUUCUGGUUGACCUCGGAUCAGGUAGGAAUACCCGCUGAACUUAAGG
Molecule: unclassified non-coding RNA, 303 nt
Filed under: plant metagenome
Description: partial contains 5.8S ribosomal RNA, internal transcribed spacer 2, and large subunit ribosomal RNA
Rfam family: 5.8S ribosomal RNA (bases 1-105)
Source: RNAcentral